UGGGGAAUUUUGGACAAUGGGCGAAAGCCUGAUCCAGCAAUGCCGCGUGUGUGAAGAAGGCCUUCGGGUUGUAAAGCACUUUUGUCCGGAAAGAAAUCCUUGGCUCUAAUACAGUCGGGGGAUGACGGUACCGGAAGAAUAAGCACCGGCUAACUACGUGCCAGCAGCCGCGGUAAUACGUAGGGUGCAAGCGUUAAUCGGAAUUACUGGGCGUAAAGCGUGCGCAGGCGGUUUGCUAAGACCGAUGUGAAAUCCCCGGGCUCAACCUGGGAACUGCAUUGGUGACUGGCAGGCUAGAGUAUGGCAGAGGGGGGUAGAAUUCCACGUGUAGCAGUGAAAUGCGUAGAGAUGUGGAGGAAUACGAUGGCGAAGGCAGCCCCCUGGGCCAAUACUGACGCUCAUGCACGAAAGCGUGGGGAGCAAACAGGAUUAGAUACCCUGGUAGUCCACGCCCUAAACGAUGUCAGCUAGUUGUUGGGGGAUUCAUUUCCUUAGUAACGUAGCUAACGCGUGAAGUUGACCGCCUGGGGAGUACGGUCGCAAGAUUAAAACUCAAAGGAAUUGAC
RNAcentral lists this ribosomal RNA (566 nucleotides) under uncultured bacterium. RNAcentral describes it as "partial 16S ribosomal RNA". It matches the Rfam family "Bacterial small subunit ribosomal RNA", at positions 355 to 914 of the family's 1533-position model. The record is from RNAcentral.